CGGUUACUUUCCCAGUAUUACCAAACGUGAGAAAUGAAUUUUCAAAUUCGUUUCAUGAAUCAAACGGGACUUUGGAGAUCCAUUUUUACUCCAUUGGAAAUGGGUUUUUGGCAUGAGUUGCUAUACCUUGCAGCUCCAUUCAAAGCUCUCACUGGGCUUGCCCUUAUAAGAUAUGUUUUUGGGUGCUUAUUUUUUCACUUCUUUUUUGUCCACUUACACUUCAUUUUAUUUUAUAAUAUUUUUUUAUAUGACAUUUUCUAUUAGGUGGGGCGAUAAUAUACUAAAUUCACAUACGGAUACUAGGAUUCGAAAGAAUCAUAAUGACUCCCUAUAAUUUAAUGCUGCUUUGUUUUAUGCAUAUUUUAAACUUUUAAUUAAUGCUAAUUAUUUUUUAUUAUAAAAAUGAACCAAUUAUGUUGAAUUACAAAAUAAUUAUAGUAUUUAUGGUAAGGAAAAAUGCUCUCCUCCUAAAAUAGUUUUUUGUUUGUAUUUUUAGUUAAAAUUUAACGAAAAAAUAAGGAACAUUAUUGCGGAUGAGUGCAAAAAUCAGCUCCGUUUAAUUUUUUUUUUUUCCCAAUCUUCAUGUUUUUUUUAUUUAUCAGGCUUCUUCAUUUAUGUCCUAGACAUCGAAAGAAACCCAAGCCCUAGAAUAUGGAGGAAAUGGAAGAGGCAAGCAACCAAAACCCAAGCGCCACCGUUGCCAAUUGAAACCUAAACGAUCUCCCAGAGGAGCUCCUCCUCCACAUCCUCACCUGUCUUCCCAUAUUAGAAUCGGUCCAAACCUCCCUCAUAUCCCAGAAAUGGAGACCCCUCUGGUCUCGUGUUCCCUCCUUGAACUUCCUCUUCGAACUCUUCCCGCCAUACGAGCCACCCUUAGAUACUCGCCAGUUCUUCGCCGAGUUCAUCGACCGCGUUCUUAUUCUUCGCUCCAAUUCUCCCAUCCACACUUUUCGCCUCUCUUUCAUCUACCAUGGUCACUACCGCUCUCAUGUCGAUUCUUGGGUUCGAUCCGCCAUAACCCGACUUCGCACACGUGAGCUCUAUCUCGACUUCUUCAUCCACAAAGAUUUUCAUGACGAAGAAACUCAUAAUCACAGGUAUGAUUUCCCUUUCUCUGUUCUGAGAAAUGGGUGCGUAGCAAUCUUAGGCCUUACGCGAUGUGAUCUUUCGUUGCCGGCUAAAAUGUCCACGCUGCGUUUUUGCUCGAUUGGGUCCAUGUUUCUCAAUGAGGUUUAUUUGACGGACCAGGCAAUGCUGGAUUUAAUUUCGGGUUGCCCCAAUUUGGAGGCUUUGGAUCUUGAGAACUGUUUGGCGCAUCAUCAUAUGAAGAUAUGUAGCGCAAAGCUUAAGAGGCUAGCACUUAGGUAUUUUUAUGAUUCUGAACUCAAAGAGACCAUUUUGGUUGAUUGCCCAAACCUUUGUUCGAUCAGUUUUAAUUGUUGUGCCUUUGACAAAUUUGUACUUAAGAAUGCGUCGUCCCUGGUUGAGUUUCAUGUUGAUAUUUUGCACAAAAUCGAUCGAUCCUAUCGUUAUUGGAACAAGGUUGUGAGGCUACUAGGACAAGCACCUAAUGUUAAGCAUCUUAAUGUGCAGAAUUGGUGGUUUAAGUUUCUGACAUCAAAGGAGGAUUCUUUCCCCAAAAGUUUUAUGCUCCACAAUCUCAACCUCUUAGAGCUGCAAACAGGAUUUACCCAAUAUGAUCUGGUUGGCAUGGCUGCACUGCUUAAACUUUGUCCCAAUCUCGAGACAAUGAUUCUGGAAUACCUUUUCAAGAAAAGGGCAGAUGAGAGUUUAUCAGAAGAGUUGCUAAAUAAGCCAGUUGAAUUGAGCAUGCCAAGUCUUAAGCAAGUUACAAUGAACGUGUAUACCGGAACAGAAGAUGAAUUCAAUUUUAUGAAAAUGUUGAUUGGGCAAGGAGUUGUCCUAGAAAAGAUUGUGUUUGUUCCCGUCCAAGUUGAGAACGGAAAAGUUGUUGAGAGGUCGCUUCCUCCAGUGGUUCUAUGUAGAAACGGUUCACAAGGUUGGAAGUGCUCACCGGACCUCUCCUCAGUACGGAAUAUUAUAGAGUCUGAGCUAAAUGUGGAUUAGGUUUAAAAUUACAUGGGGAAUCCAUUGGCUCAUUCCAAGGUUUCUUGUUUUUCUGAAACUGGGUUUAAAAUUAGAUGAUUAUUACGAAUAUCAAUAUUAUGUUUGGAUUUUGUUUACGGAUGAUCAUCCGUCUUCUUUCUUCAUUAACAAAAA
RNA transcript from Prunus persica (peach), 2241 nucleotides. It is a transcript of the gene named F-box/LRR-repeat protein At4g14103, with no coding region annotated. The record is from RefSeq and is a predicted model, not a curated record. The transcript is spliced from 3 exons. NCBI's taxonomy places the organism in Eukaryota, Viridiplantae, Streptophyta, Magnoliopsida, Rosales, Rosaceae.